RNAcentral lists this ribosomal RNA (301 nucleotides) under uncultured bacterium. RNAcentral describes it as "partial 16S ribosomal RNA". It matches the Rfam family "Bacterial small subunit ribosomal RNA", at positions 509 to 807 of the family's 1533-position model. The record is from RNAcentral.
CAGUCGCCGCGGUAAAACGUAGGUGGCAAGCGUUGUCCGGAAUUAUUGGGCGUAAAGGGCUCGUAGGCGGUUUCUUAAGUCUGAUGUGAAAGCCCCCGGCUCAACCGGGGAGGGUCAUUGGAAACUGGGAAACUUGAGUGCAGAAGAGGAGAGUGGAAUUCCACGUGUAGCGGUGAAAUGCGUAGAGAUGUGGAGGAACACCAGUGGCGAAGGCGACUCUCUGGUCUGUAACUGACGCUGAGGAGCGAAAGCGUGGGGAGCGAACAGGAUUAGAGACCCCAGUAGUCCCUGUCUCUUAUAC